UCUCCGUUGGUGAACCAGCGGAGGGAUCAUUAUAGAGUUUUCUAAACUCCCAAACCCAUGUGAACUUACCAUUGUUGCCUCGGCGGGCUACCCUGUAGACCGCCGGUGGACCAUUAAACUCUUGUUAUUCUAUGGAUAUCUGAGCGUCUUAUUUAAUAAGUUAAAACUUUCAACAACGGAUCUCUUGGUUCUGGCAUCGAUGAAGAACGCAGC
This 213-nucleotide unclassified non-coding RNA is filed under the name uncultured fungus. RNAcentral's name for it is "sequence contains ITS1, 5.8S rRNA gene". The stretch from base 165 to 213 matches the Rfam family "5.8S ribosomal RNA", at positions 1 to 49 of the family's 154-position model. Lineage: Eukaryota; Fungi. The record is from RNAcentral.